Molecule: long non-coding RNA, 1612 nt
Filed under: Sorghum bicolor (sorghum)
Lineage: Eukaryota; Viridiplantae; Streptophyta; Magnoliopsida; Poales; Poaceae
Description: long non-coding RNA (SBIC_LNC014694)
Source: RNAcentral
UGUACUAACUAGACUUAAAAGAUUCGUCUCGUCAAUUUCGACCAAACUGUGCAAUUAGUUUUUAUUUUUGUCUAUAUUUAAUACUUCAUGCAUGCGUCUAAAAAUUUAAUGUGACGGGGAAUCUGAAAAAUUUUGCAAAAUUUUUUGAGCGCAUACUACUCCACCAGGCGUUUACUGCUAGUAAUGACUGUCUUACCCACUCGCGUCAAAUUCUCAGCCAUUUCCCUUUCUCUUCAUGUUUACUCGCUCAUGCAUGGCUACUGUUGUUGGCUUCAUGUUUUACGCUUGGAAGUUAUAUGAAGCAGGCUGGUUGACUUUUGGCAACACUAUUAUCAGUUGAUGUAGCGAUGUUUUUUUUUUUAUUUUGAAAUUUAUUAUCUUUUUUUAUAUAGGCUCUGAAUUAGACAAAUGAUAUAUUCAUUUUAAUUAUCUCAACAAGCUCCUCACAAUGGUUUACUUUAUUUUAACAUUUGAGAAUUUUUUUUAUCAUGGUGAAUAUUUCAAUUACUAUUCAAGUCCUUUUCGCACCAAUUCGUAUAUCGUAAGUGCCCAUAUAUUAUCUUUUCACGCAUAUUUUUAUAUCCUAUAUAAUAACUAGAUCACCAAAAUUUGUGAAACUUACUAAAUUAAGACAUAUCUUGCAAUGAUGCAUUAUGAUUGUAUUUAUUUGUAUAUGUGAUAAAAUAUAUGUUCCUAAUUAUCUAUUACAUAUAAUUAUAUUACACCGGUUUAAAAUAUUUGUGAGCAAUUCAAUUUGUCCGGUCCAAAGUAAUCGAACCAACGGUUCAACCGGUUCUUAACGGUGGACCAGUGAACCGAUGACCUCGCCGGUUCGAUUUUCGGUCCGGUCCUAAUAACUAUGCUUCGAUGGGAAUGGCCUGGCUGAGAUUCAAACUGUGGUUGUUGCCUUUGCGUGAGGAUAACUGGCAAGCGUGGAGAGGUGGGGUGAGAAGGCGAGUGAGAAGCUCGGCUUCCCACUUCCAAUCAUGACCAUCAAAUUUGAUGUAUGUGUUUUAUUAGCCUUUGAUUUUGAUAGAGAUGGAUUUUUGUGUGCAUUAUUCUAGGUGUAUAAUGGUUGAGGGUAGACUAAGUAUAAUUUAUUUGUUUCAUUAUAGUAGAGAAGAUAAGGAAACAAUCGGAGAUUAGAAAAAUCAUUAAAUUUUAAAUUUAAAAAGCUACGCACACAUGUAGUGUGCUCUUGUUCACCUGAUUAAGAACCUGGGAAGACACAGAUAGAAGUAUAGGAAGACCAAUUCAUCAUUCAGUUCAAUAUAAUCCGUAUAGGUAGAUAGCUAACCACGCUUACCGCGUGGUGCCACCCGUGUCCAGGAACGGGGUUAUGAACUGCUUUGCUCUUACUUACGUAACCGGUAUGGUACAACUGUACAAGAGAAGGUCGAAGUAUUUUUUUUUCAAAGUACUAUUAUAUAUAUUGUGUAAAUAUACGCGCGAGCGCAUGCUUCCAUAGACACAUGGGCCUUAGAGUGACGGGCCUAGAAUACAGCCCACGUCGUGAAACAACCAGCCACGACCCGAGUAACACUCGACGGGCCCGCACGCACCAGCAACAAGUCCAGCACCACAGCUCCCCUAUCGCGGACGCGGCCGGCCA